UGUUAAGCAUUUCAAUGUAUAUAUAUUUCAACCUGUUUCAGUCUACUCAUACUUGCUUGACAACGAUACAAGAAUCUGUAUCGAAACGUCGCAUCAUCCGAAUAAAGAAG
This is a long non-coding RNA of Haliotis rubra (blacklip abalone), 110 nucleotides long. RefSeq lists it as uncharacterized. The record is from RefSeq and is a predicted model, not a curated record. Lineage: Eukaryota; Metazoa; Mollusca; Gastropoda; Lepetellida; Haliotidae. The transcript is spliced from 3 exons.